Capsicum annuum is the source of this 1446-nucleotide long non-coding RNA. RefSeq lists it as uncharacterized. The record is from RefSeq and is a predicted model, not a curated record. Lineage: Eukaryota; Viridiplantae; Streptophyta; Magnoliopsida; Solanales; Solanaceae. The transcript has 3 exons.
CAAGUUAAUUACUCAAUAUGUUUAUACAAAAACUUUAUCAAGAGAAAACCCCAAAAACUAAGAUGGUCUUCCAUGAGUAAGGCUUCUGUAGGAUGCCUUGUUGCGAGCUAGUAUUGCUCGUAGAUGCUCGAGGCUUCUUGAGACGAAUCAGGGAUAGUCUUCUUUGUUUUUUUUUGGAUUGAAUGCAGAUGUUCCUUCCUAUUUGAUCUCGCCAUGUGUUUCUGUGUGAUUCACUUUUUUUACUAGAUUUGAUUUUGCUACACACAAAAAGUUAUAAUCUGCAUAUUUAAAGUUAUUCCGCAAACGCUAAAAUGUAAAGAUCUUUAAACUUCAAAACAAAUUAAAUAAUAAUGUCUAAAUAUAUAACCCAUAAAGUUUUUACCUCAUCAUAGCCUAGUGGGGAUAAUAGACAUAUUAUCGUUUUAUGCCAGCAUAUCUAAAGUUGUUCAAAAAAACCUAAACAUAUAAAAUUCUUUAAAAAUAAAUACAAAUUAAAUAUCUCUUUCCAAAUAAAUAUCCAUAAAACUUUUAACUCGUGACAUUUAGUGGGGACAUAUUAUCGUUUUAUGCAAGUCGCCCGAUUUCCUUCAAUCAUUUUUCUCUAUUUUUUUGACUUUAUCUCGUUUUGUUUUUUCAUAAUCAUCACUGAUAUAGAUGUAUAUGGAUCGGAUUGGUUCAAAAAUUUUAAAUAUCAAAUCAAAUUAAUUACAUCUCAUUUUCAUUCAAAGAGUUCUUAUGCACAAUUAGAUUUAAGCGAACUGUCGUAGUGAAGGUGCAUGCUAUGAGAUAGUCUUUUAGUACCAAGCAUGUCGUAGUUUCAUAUUGAUCUGACGGUUCAGUUUUGUCCUGUAAAAGAAAAUUUAGAUGAGCCACUGCUGAAAUCUAACACUAUACCGUCAAGAUGUGGGUCAGCAAAGGUGGAAAAUCUCCACUUAAUGAAGUUCGAGUAGUGAAAAUAAUGAUCUCAUUAAGCUACGGAAGAUGUUAAUGUUGUUAGUUGGUAGGAUUUCUACAAGAUGUAAGAAAUUCAAGCAUGAUAAGGUUGUGGCCUAUGUUUCUAGGCAACUUAAGGUGCAUGAAAGGAAUCAUCCGACACAUGAUUUGGAAUUGUUAGCAGUGGUUUUGCUCUGAAGAUUUGGCGCCAUUAUUUGUAUGGAGUGCAUGUUGAAAGUUAAUUAAACUGGUGAGAAAGUUAAAAGUGUAAAUCUUCAAGAACUAUUUUUGUAUCUAUGGAAAAGAGGUAUUCUCAGUGUAUAGCCCCUAUAAUUUCAUCUUGGUUUUUAGUAUAUCUCUAAGUUUCAUUUUGUGUAUCUAUGCAACAUUUAUGGUAUAAAUACAUGAGGUUAAACUUAAAGAUUGUGAGGAAAAGUUAAGAGACAACUUAUUUAAUAGUUCAACUUGAAAUUAGAUUGUAUUAUCAUUUUUGUGUUACUUGAAUUGUCAAUU